UUUUGAUGUCAAAUUUUUCGCGCUUAAUUAACGAAUCGAUUGCCAGAUGUUCGGGAAUUUUAGCACCAACAGGGGCCGAGUAAUUAAUUAAAAAUCGAAUUUAUUGGUUUCGAUUUCGUAUUGAAUGCGUGACGAAUUGGAUUUUUCCUGUUCCACUUCUACCAAAUUGGGUUUUCUUUAUAAGGUAAACGCUCAAUUUUGGAAGGAUCUUUUGCGUUCUAUUUGCCGUAAGUACGUUGUAGCGUUUGCAAUUUUUGCGUGCCUUUACAUUUGCCUUUUCUUACCGCGGUUUAAUUUCGCAAGCUAGGGAAUUUGCCGGCACGCCACAUUUUGUUUUAGAGUUCCAGACAGUACCGCCGCCAUUUUCUGGACCUUAUCGCCGAAUUCCUGGAAUCUUCGAUUGAGACUACUUCCGAGGCUACCGAAACCGAUCCUGUCCUUCCGUAAUUACCGCCGACCUCGUCCAGGCGCGAGAUUUUCAUCUGGUGACGCUCGAGUCCGUCCCCUGUACCGCCGUUUCGUCGACAACUGAUUGCCGCCGACUACCGCUUGAAGAAUUACAAUAUACGGUGCAUUAUAAUAUAUUUAAUUAAACUAGUUUCGACAAAUA
Long non-coding RNA from Photinus pyralis (common eastern firefly), 610 nucleotides. RefSeq lists it as uncharacterized. The transcript has 2 exons. Lineage: Eukaryota; Metazoa; Arthropoda; Insecta; Coleoptera; Lampyridae. The record is from RefSeq and is a predicted model, not a curated record.